Molecule: ribosomal RNA, 217 nt
Filed under: uncultured prokaryote
Description: partial 16S ribosomal RNA
Rfam family: Bacterial small subunit ribosomal RNA
Source: RNAcentral
ACGUAGGCAGCAAACGUUGUUCGGAAUUACUGGGCGUAAAGAGUGUGUAGGCGGUUUUGUUAGUUUGGUGCGAAAUCUCCCGGCUUAACUGGGAGGGUGCGCCGAAUACUGCAAGGCUUGAGUACUGGAGAGGAUAGCGGAAUUCCUGGUGUAGCGGUGAAAUGCGUAGAUAUUGGGAGGAACACCAGUGGCGAAGGCGGCUCACUGGACCGGUUCU